RNAcentral lists this ribosomal RNA (431 nucleotides) under uncultured microorganism. RNAcentral describes it as "bacterial SSU rRNA". It matches the Rfam family "Bacterial small subunit ribosomal RNA", at positions 9 to 439 of the family's 1533-position model. The record is from RNAcentral.
GAGUUUGAUCCUGGCUCAGAUUGAACGCUGGCGGCAUGCCUUACACAUGCAAGUCGAACGGCGGCAUGAUCUAGCUUGCUAGAUUGAUGGCGAGUGGCGAACGGGUGAGUAAUACAUCGGAACGUGCCCUGUAGUGGGGGAUAACUAGUCGAAAGAUUAGCUAAUACCGCAUACGACCUGAGGGUGAAAGUGGGGGACCGCAAGGCCUCAUGCUAUAGGAGCGGCCGAUGUCUGAUUAGCUAGUUGGUGGGGUAAAGGCCCACCAAGGCGACGAUCAGUAGCUGGUCUGAGAGGACGAUCAGCCACACUGGGACUGAGACACGGCCCAGACUCCUACGGGAGGCAGCAGUGGGGAAUUUUGGACAAUGGGCGAAAGCCUGAUCCAGCAAUGCCGCGUGUGUGAAGAAGGCCUCGGUUGUAAGUACGACUUU